This 1268-nucleotide ribosomal RNA is filed under the name Microbacterium sp. SMX-3S-SF21. Its description in RNAcentral is "bacterial SSU rRNA". It matches the Rfam family "Bacterial small subunit ribosomal RNA", at positions 115 to 1394 of the family's 1533-position model. The record is from RNAcentral. Lineage: Bacteria; Bacillati; Actinomycetota; Actinomycetes; Micrococcales; Microbacteriaceae.
ACGUGAGCAACCUGCCCCUCACUCUGGGAUAAGCGCUGGAAACGGCGUCUAAUACUGGAUACGAGUUGGAGCCGCAUGGUUACCAACUGGAAAGAUUUUUUGGUGGGGGAUGGGCUCGCGGCCUAUCAGCUUGUUGGUGAGGUAAUGGCUCACCAAGGCGUCGACGGGUAGCCGGCCUGAGAGGGUGACCGGCCACACUGGGACUGAGACACGGCCCAGACUCCUACGGGAGGCAGCAGUGGGGAAUAUUGCACAAUGGGCGGAAGCCUGAUGCAGCAACGCCGCGUGAGGGAUGACGGCCUUCGGGUUGUAAACCUCUUUUAUCAGGGAAGAAGCGAAAGUGACGGUACCUGCAGAAAAAGCACCGGCUAACUACGUGCCAGCAGCCGCGGUAAUACGUAGGGUGCAAGCGUUAUCCGGAAUUAUUGGGCGUAAAGAGCUCGUAGGCGGUUUGUCGCGUCUGCUGUGAAAUCCCGAGGCUCAACCUCGGGCCUGCAGUGGGUACGGGCAGACUAGAGUGCGGUAGGGGAGAUUGGAAUUCCUGGUGUAGCGGUGGAAUGCGCAGAUAUCAGGAGGAACACCGAUGGCGAAGGCAGAUCUCUGGGCCGUAACUGACGCUGAGGAGCGAAAGGGUGGGGAGCAAACAGGCUUAGAUACCCUGGUAGUCCACCCCGUAAACGUUGGGAACUAGUUGUGGGGUCCUUUCCACGGAUUCCGUGACGCAGCUAACGCAUUAAGUUCCCCGCCUGGGGAGUACGGCCGCAAGGCUAAAACUCAAAGGAAUUGACGGGGACCCGCACAAGCGGCGGAGCAUGCGGAUUAAUUCGAUGCAACGCGAAGAACCUUACCAAGGCUUGACAUACACCAGAACACCGUAGAAAUAUGGGACUCUUUGGACACUGGUGAACAGGUGGUGCAUGGUUGUCGUCAGCUCGUGUCGUGAGAUGUUGGGUUAAGUCCCGCAACGAGCGCAACCCUCGUUCUAUGUUGCCAGCACGUAAUGGUGGGAACUCAUGGGAUACUGCCGGGGUCAACUCGGAGGAAGGUGGGGAUGACGUCAAAUCAUCAUGCCCCUUAUGUCUUGGGCUUCACGCAUGCUACAAUGGCCGGUACAAAGGGCUGCAAUACCGUGAGGUGGAGCGAAUCCCAAAAAGCCGGUCCCAGUUCGGAUUGAGGUCUGCAACUCGACCUCAUGAAGUCGGAGUCGCUAGUAAUCGCAGAUCAGCAACGCUGCGGUGAAUACGUUCCCGGGUCUUGUACACACCGCC